RNAcentral lists this ribosomal RNA (301 nucleotides) under uncultured bacterium. Its description in RNAcentral is "partial 16S ribosomal RNA". It matches the Rfam family "Bacterial small subunit ribosomal RNA", at positions 509 to 808 of the family's 1533-position model. The record is from RNAcentral.
CAGUAGCCGCGGGAAUACGGAGGGAGCUAGCGUUGUCCGGAUUUAUUGGGCGUAAAGCGAGCGCAGGCGGUUAGAUAAGUCUGAAGUUAAAGGCUGUGGCUUAACCAUAGUACGCUUUGGAAACUGUUUAACUUGAGUGCAAGAGGGGAGAGUGGAAUUCCAUGUGUAGCGGUGAAAUGCGUAGAUAUAUGGAGGAACACCGGUGGCGAAUGCGGCUCUCUGGCUUGUAACUGACGCUGAGGCUCGAAAGCGUGGGGAGCAAACAGGAUUAGAUACCCGGGUAGUCCCUGUCUCUUAUACC